GGAUAUAUCUCAGUGGUAGAGCACGUGCUUAACAUGCAUGAGGUCCUGAGUUCAAUCCCCAGUACAUCCA
This 70-nucleotide transfer RNA is filed under the name Camelus bactrianus (Bactrian camel). It matches the Rfam family "tRNA". Rfam says of the family: Transfer RNA (tRNA) molecules are approximately 80 nucleotides in length. RNAcentral also lists the same sequence under 2 other names. Lineage: Eukaryota; Metazoa; Chordata; Mammalia; Artiodactyla; Camelidae. The record is from Rfam by way of RNAcentral.